GGGUGCUAACACAUGCCAGUCGUUCGAGAAAGGGCUUUCGGGCCUGAGUAAAGUGGCGCACGGGUGAGUAACACGUGACUAACCUACCCUUGAGCGGGGGAUAACCUAGGGAAACCUGGGCUAAUACCGCAUAAUACCUACGGGUCAAAGCGAGCAAUCGCACUUAAGGAGGGGGUCGCGGCAGAUUAGCUAGUUGGUGAGGUAACGGCUCACCAAGGCGAUGAUCUGUAUCCGGCCUGAGAGGGCGCACGGACACACUGGAACUGAAACACGGUCCAGACUCCUACGGGAGGCAGCAGUGGGGAAUUUUGCGCAAUGGGGGAAACCCUGACGCAGCAACGCCGCGUGGAGGAUGAAAUCCCUUGGGAUGUAAACUCCUUUCGAUCGGGACGAUAAUGACGGUACCGGAAGAAGAAGCCCCGGCUAACUUCGUUGCCAGCAAGACGCGGUAAUACGAGGGGGGCAAGCGUGUUCGGAAUUAUUGGGCGUAAAGGGUGCGUAGGCGGUUUGAUAAGUCAUCUGUGAAAUCUACUGGGCUCAACCCAGAGUCUGCAGGCGAAACUGUCGGGCUUGAAGAGUGGGAGAGGUGAGUGGAUUUCCGGUGUAGCGGUGAAAUGCGUAGAUA
Molecule: ribosomal RNA, 625 nt
Filed under: uncultured bacterium
Lineage: Bacteria
Description: bacterial SSU rRNA
Rfam family: Bacterial small subunit ribosomal RNA
Source: RNAcentral